GUGUCCGUAGCUCAGCUGGAUAGAGUACAGACCUCCGAAGUCUGCGGUCAGGAGUUCGAAUCCCCUCGGACACGCCA
RNAcentral lists this transfer RNA (77 nucleotides) under Bacilli bacterium. RNAcentral describes it as "tRNA-Arg". It matches the Rfam family "tRNA". Rfam says of the family: Transfer RNA (tRNA) molecules are approximately 80 nucleotides in length. Their secondary structure includes four short double-helical elements and three loops (D, anti-codon, and T loops). The record is from RNAcentral. RNAcentral also lists the same sequence under 1 other name. Lineage: Bacteria; Bacillati; Bacillota; Bacilli.